UACGGGGGGGGCAAGCGUUGUUCGGAAUUACUGGGCGUAAAGGGCUCGUAGGUGGCCAACUAAGUCGGACGUGAAAUCCCUCAGCUUAACUGGGGAACUGCGUCCGAUACUGGAUGGCUCGAGUUUGGGAGAGGGAUGCGGAAUUCCAGGUGUAGCGGUGAAAUGCGUAGAUAUCUGGAGGAACACCGGUGGCGAAGGCGGCAUCCUGGACCAACACUGACACGUCGA
RNAcentral lists this ribosomal RNA (228 nucleotides) under uncultured bacterium. Its description in RNAcentral is "partial 16S ribosomal RNA". It matches the Rfam family "Bacterial small subunit ribosomal RNA", at positions 524 to 752 of the family's 1533-position model. The record is from RNAcentral.